AGGUGCUGCAUGGCUGUCGUCAGCUCGUGUCGUGAGAUGUUGGGUUAAGUCCCGCAACGAGCGCAACCCUCAUUUUUAGUUGCCAUCAGGUUAUGCUGGGCACUCUAAUAAAACUGCCAGUGAUAAGCUGGAGGAAGGCGGGGAUGACGUCAAGUCCUCAUGGCCCUUACGGUCUGGGCUACACACGUGCUACAAUGGUGGUGACAGUGGGAAGCAAUUUCGCAAGAAAAAGCAAAUCUCCAAAAGCCAUCUCAGUUCGGAUUGGACUCUGCAACUCGAGUCCAUGAAGUUGGAAUCGCUAGUAAUCGUAGAUCAGCAUGCUACGGUGAAUACGUUCUCGGGCCUUGUACACACCGCCCGUCACG
This 365-nucleotide ribosomal RNA is filed under the name uncultured Alphaproteobacteria bacterium. Its description in RNAcentral is "bacterial SSU rRNA". It matches the Rfam family "Bacterial small subunit ribosomal RNA", at positions 1036 to 1401 of the family's 1533-position model. Lineage: Bacteria; Pseudomonadati; Pseudomonadota; Alphaproteobacteria. The record is from RNAcentral.